ACAGAAGAUAAGAGGAUGUUUAGACUCUUAGAUGGCUGAGCAUAGAUCACUCAUACCUUAGAUAAUGCAAAGAAUAUCUUGCUUCCUAAUCACCUGUUAAUUUUUAUUGAUAGUAUGAUCGAAGCCUUUUCACAUCCUGAGCAUACCACUCCUCAAUCAAUGCAAGUAGAUACAAGUUCAGAAAUUUCUAGUGCACAGAUUUCUACAUAUAAAGACAAAUCUUCCUCAGUUCCACUUCUGAUAUCAAAUGGAGUCAAUGUUGCUUUACAACCACCUGUUCCAACACCUCAGAAGACCGAGAGAAAUGAAUGCACGGCUCAGUUACCAGAUCGUUCAGAGUCCGUUAGGCAGAUGCUGCAAGAUGAAAUGUUUAAAUUAGUUCAGCUGCAACAGAUCAACUUCAUGAGCCUAAUGCAAAUAGUAGGAUCAUCCUUUGCUAAUCUCCCAGAUAUACAACAACUUGUACAGCAGUCUCAGUCUGUGCAUUUAGGGGAAAGCCAAGAAUCAAACCUAAGAGGAUGUGGUGAUGUUGAAGACAGCAACAAAAAUCUUAAGGAGAGAUUUUUUAUUAAACCACAGUCAGUGGGAGAGAACACCAGAGAGCCUCGCAAGAACAGCCCACACUGCCAUGAAGGAACUAUCCCAUCUGGUCAAAAUAGUACUGGAAACAUACAGAAUGUUCCACAUGGGAGUAUUCCUUUAUGU
Molecule: small RNA, 705 nt
Filed under: Pongo abelii (Sumatran orangutan)
Lineage: Eukaryota; Metazoa; Chordata; Mammalia; Primates; Hominidae
Description: retained intron
Source: RNAcentral